This 150-nucleotide ribosomal RNA is filed under the name uncultured bacterium. RNAcentral's name for it is "partial 16S ribosomal RNA". It matches the Rfam family "Bacterial small subunit ribosomal RNA", at positions 364 to 509 of the family's 1533-position model. The record is from RNAcentral.
UUGGUCAAUGGGCGGGAGCCUGAACCAGCCAAGUCGCGUGAGGGAAGACGGUCCUAUGGAUUGUAAACCUCUUUUUGUCGGGGAGCAAAGAGGCCACGUGUGGUCAAAAGCGAGAGUACCCGAAGAAAAAGCAUCGGCUAACUCCGUGCC